AACGGCAGCACAGAGGAGCUUGCUCCUUGGGUGGCGAGUGGCGGACGGGUGAGGAAUACGUCGGAAUCUGCCUAUUUGUGGGGGAUAACGUAGGGAAACUUACGCUAAUACCGCAUACGACCUUAGGGUGAAAGCGGAGGACCUUCGGGCUUCGCGCAGAUAGAUGAGCCGACGUCGGAUUAGCUAGUUGGCGGGGUAAAGGCCCACCAAGGCGACGAUCCGUAGCUGGUCUGAGAGGAUGAUCAGCCACACUGGAACUGAGACACGGUCCAGACUCCUACGGGAGGCAGCAGUGGGGAAUAUUGGACAAUGGGCGCAAGCCUGAUCCAGCCAUGCCGCGUGUGUGAAGAAGGCCUUCGGGUUGUAAAGCACUUUUGUCCGGAAAGAAAAGCUUCGGGUUAAUACCCCGGGGUCCUGACGGUACCGGAAGAAUAAGCACCGGCUAACUUCGUGCCAGCAGCCGCGGUAAUACGAAGGGUGCAAGCGUUACUCGGAAUUACUGGGCCGUAAAGCGUGCGUAGGUGGGUUUGUUAAAGUCUGAUGUGAAAGCCCUGGGCUCAACCUGGGAAUUGCAUUGGAUACUGGCAGGCUAA
RNAcentral lists this ribosomal RNA (593 nucleotides) under Lysobacter sp. JMT1943. RNAcentral describes it as "bacterial SSU rRNA". It matches the Rfam family "Bacterial small subunit ribosomal RNA", at positions 65 to 644 of the family's 1533-position model. Lineage: Bacteria; Pseudomonadati; Pseudomonadota; Gammaproteobacteria; Lysobacterales; Lysobacteraceae. The record is from RNAcentral.